Molecule: ribosomal RNA, 429 nt
Filed under: Bacteroidota bacterium
Lineage: Bacteria; Pseudomonadati; Bacteroidota
Description: Bacteroidetes bacterium partial 16S ribosomal RNA
Rfam family: Bacterial small subunit ribosomal RNA
Source: RNAcentral
UAGGGAAUCUUCGGCAAUGGGGGGAACCCUGACCGAGCAACGCCGCGUGAGUGAAGAAGGUUUUCGGAUCGUAAAGCUCUGUUGUUAAGGAAGAACGAGUGUGAGAAUGGAAAGUUCAUACUGUGACGGUACUUAACCAGAAAGGGACGGCUAACUACGUGCCAGCAGCCGCGGUAAUACGUAGGUCCCGAGCGUUGUCCGGAUUUAUUGGGCGUAAAGCGAGCGCAGGCGGUUAGUUAAGUCUGAAGUUAAAGGCAGUGGCUCAACCAUUGUAGGCUUUGGAAACUGUUUAACUUGAGUGCAGAAGGGGAGAGUGGAAUUCCAUGUGUAGCGGUGAAAUGCGUAGAUAUAUGGAGGAACACCGGUGGCGAAAGCGGCUCUCUGGUCUGUAACUGACGCUGAUGUGCGAAAGCGUGGGGAUCAAACAGG